AUGAAAGAUUUUCAAUGGAUACCUCUCCCAUCUUUCUACAAAGAAAAAGCUCUUAAUAAAAAGAAUCCAAGCUGCUGUCACAUAUCAAAAAGUCAAACUGAGCAUCUAAUGGAAAGAGAGGACCAGGCAGACCAAAACCAGCUAAAUAUUGUUCCUGUAGUUGAGAAAAUAUCCCUUGCAAUUAAUGAUGAUCCAGGUGAGAUCAUAAGAAUGAAACACAGCAGGAAAAGUUCUUCAAAACUGAAAGAAAAAGGAAGGACUGAAAGGUAUGAACGUAAUCAGUUUACAGAUUCAACACUGCAUAUUGUACCAGCAUCUACCCAAAGUCUUGCAAAAGAUUUUUGCCUUCAACAGCUCUGUAAAGGGACUGUGCUGAGUGAAGAGAGAAGCAGAAAAGAAAAUGAAAGCAGAGGACAACAGUCAGAUGCACUAAUGCACCAACAUAAUGUUUUAUUAGGUGAGACCAGAUCUACAUCUGCAGAAAUAAAAUCUUCUGUUGACAUCCCCAGAAUGGAAGGUCUUGAGGAAAAGGUUGAGGAUCAGAGAGCAGGAACUUUAACUCUUGACAGUUGUCCGAUGUGUCUAAUCCAGUUUACUGGAACAUUCCUCUGAUACCUAUCUGUGUUCCCUCUGAGGUUUGUACACACUUGUGGCAGAGAGAAACUUGCACUGGUGUUUUCCAUCAUGUCCUUGUUCUGCUGAUUGUCUCAGGAGUUGAGUGCCCAGCACCUCUAAGGGCUAUUCGGCACUUAAAACUUAGGUCAGUAUAACUACAGCACUCUGGGGAUGUGAAAAAUCUAUGUGAACCUAGCCUCCAUUGUAGACGCAGUUAGGUUCAUGGAAGAAUGCUUCCAUUUACCUUUCUACCGUUGCUCAGGGAAGUGGUGUUCCUACAGUGAUGGAAAACCAUUUUCCACUGCUGAAGGCUGUGUCUACACAAGGGGUUAUGCCAGCCUACCUACAUUACAGUACCCAUGCUGCUAGAGUCCCCAUAGUGUAGACAUAGCCUAAGACGAUUAGACUCCAAGAAAGCACAUCGGUCUUUGUUAUUAAUCCAGCACCUCUAACAAAAAUUUUAAAAAAAAUCAGAAAAAACGCCACAGAAUUCCGAGAAAAAUUCUUAAUAAAGUAUUGCCUGACUUUGUUUGAAAUACA
RNAcentral lists this long non-coding RNA (1155 nucleotides) under Gopherus agassizii (Agassiz's desert tortoise). RNAcentral's name for it is "lncRNA (ENSGAGG00000017089.1)". The record is from RNAcentral. Lineage: Eukaryota; Metazoa; Chordata; Testudines; Testudinidae.